Molecule: non-coding RNA, 107 nt
Organism: Gossypium hirsutum (cotton)
Lineage: Eukaryota; Viridiplantae; Streptophyta; Magnoliopsida; Malvales; Malvaceae
Source: Rfam
AUUCCAUGAUAAGGGCACUUCUGUAAUAAUUCUUUAUACCUUUCUCAUGCCUCAUACAAUGACUCAUCCUCCAUUUGUUGGAAAGCGGUGAUCUCGUUCCUCAACUU